AGGAGUUUAGGUUAAAACAGACCAAGAGCCUUCAAAGCCCUAAGCAAAUCACACCGAUUUAACUCCUG
RNAcentral lists this transfer RNA (68 nucleotides) under Fossa fossana (Malagasy civet). Its description in RNAcentral is "tRNA-Trp". The record is from RNAcentral. Lineage: Eukaryota; Metazoa; Chordata; Mammalia; Carnivora; Eupleridae.